RNAcentral lists this non-coding RNA (32 nucleotides) under Geobacter sulfurreducens KN400. Lineage: Bacteria; Pseudomonadati; Thermodesulfobacteriota; Desulfuromonadia; Geobacterales; Geobacteraceae. The record is from RNAcentral.
UACCUAGACGGCAGCAGCCGGCGGCAGGGAGA